AGCACGUGCUAUGUGUGUCUGUCCUAUCUAUAGAUGCAGACUGACGCAAGUGCUUAAAAUAAAACCUUCUUUUGCAACCCACAACUUGGUUCAUUUGUAUGAGUUGUGUUACUUACAGGAAGGGACAUC
Molecule: small nucleolar RNA, 129 nt
Organism: Rana temporaria (common frog)
Lineage: Eukaryota; Metazoa; Chordata; Amphibia; Anura; Ranidae
Product: small nucleolar RNA SNORA40
Exons: 1
Source: RefSeq, a predicted model, not a curated record